AUACGUAGGGGGCAAGCGUUAUCCGGAUUUACUGGGUGUAAAGGGAGCGUAGGCGGCAAGGCAAGUCUGAUGUGAAAACCCGGGGCUCAACCCCGGGACUGCAUUGGAAACUGCUUAGCUAGAGUGUCGGAGAGGUAAGUGGAAUUCCUAGUGUAGCGGUGAAAUGCGUAGAUAUUAGGAGGAACACCAGUGGCGAAGGCGGCUUACUGGACGAUAACUGACGUUGAGGCUCGAAAGCGUGGGGAGC
Molecule: ribosomal RNA, 247 nt
Filed under: uncultured bacterium
Lineage: Bacteria
Description: partial 16S ribosomal RNA
Rfam family: Bacterial small subunit ribosomal RNA
Source: RNAcentral